CUGCCAGCCGCCGCGGUAAUACGAAGGGGGCUAGCGUUGCUCGGAAUCACUGGGCGUAAAGGGUGCGUAGGCGGGUCUUUAAGUCAGGGGUGAAAUCCUGGAGCUCAACUCCAGAACUGCCUUUGAUACUGAAGAUCUUGAGUUCGGGAGAGGUGAGUGGAACUGCGAGUGUAGAGGUGAAAUUCGUAGAUAUUCGCAAGAACACCAGUGGCGAAGGCGGCUCACUGGCCCGAUACUGACGCUGAGGCACGAAAGCGUGGGGAGCAAACAGGAUUAGAUACCCUGGUAGUCCACGCCGUAAACGAUGAUUGCUAGUUGUCGGGAUGCAUGCAUUUCGGUGACGCAGCUAACGCAUUAAGCAAUCCGCCUGGGGAGUACGGUCGCAAGAUUAAAACUUAAAGGAAUUGACGG
Molecule: ribosomal RNA, 411 nt
Filed under: uncultured bacterium
Lineage: Bacteria
Description: bacterial SSU rRNA
Rfam family: Bacterial small subunit ribosomal RNA
Source: RNAcentral